This 506-nucleotide ribosomal RNA is filed under the name uncultured bacterium. Its description in RNAcentral is "partial 16S ribosomal RNA". It matches the Rfam family "Bacterial small subunit ribosomal RNA", at positions 30 to 523 of the family's 1533-position model. The record is from RNAcentral.
AUUGAACGCUGGCGGCAGGCCUAACACAUGCAAGUCGGACGGUAGCACAGAGGAGCUUGCUCCUCGGGUGACGAGUGGCGGACGGGUGAGUAAUGUCUGGGGAUCUGCCCGAUAGAGGGGGAUAACCACUGGAAACGGUGGCUAAUACCGUAUAACGUCGCAAGACCAAAGAGGGGGACCUUCGGGCCUCCCACUAUCGGAUGAACCAAGAUGGGAUUAGCUAGUAGGCGGGGUAAUGGCCCACCUAGGCGACGAUCCCUAGCUGGUCUGAGAGGAUGACCAGCCACACUGGAACUGAGACACGGUCCAGACUCCUACGGGAGGCAGCAGUGGGGAAUAUUGCACAAUGGGCGCAAGCCUGAUGCAGCCAUGCCGCGUGUAUGAAGAAGGCCUUCGGGUUGUAAAGUACUUUCAGCGGGGAGGAAGGCGAUAAGGUUAAUAACCUUGUCGAUUGACGUUACCCGCAGAAGAAGCACCGGCUAACUCCGUGCCAGCAGCCGCCGUAA